This 237-nucleotide ribosomal RNA is filed under the name uncultured bacterium. RNAcentral describes it as "partial 16S ribosomal RNA". It matches the Rfam family "Bacterial small subunit ribosomal RNA", at positions 100 to 334 of the family's 1533-position model. The record is from RNAcentral.
CCGGCACGGGUGAGUAACACGUAUCCAACCUGCCGUCUACUCUUGGACAGCCUUCUGAAAGGAAGAUUAAUACAAGAUGGUAUCAUGAGUCCGCAUGUUCACAUGAUUAAAGGUAUUCCGGUAGACGAUGGGGAUGCGUUCCAUUAGAUAGUAGGCGGGGUAACGGCCCACCUAGUCUUCGAUGGAUAGGGGUUCUGAGAGGAAGGUCCCCCACAUUGGAACUGAGACACGGUCCAA